Molecule: ribosomal RNA, 482 nt
Filed under: uncultured bacterium
Lineage: Bacteria
Description: bacterial SSU rRNA
Rfam family: Bacterial small subunit ribosomal RNA
Source: RNAcentral
AACGAACGCUGGCGGCGCGUCUUAAACAUGCAAGUCGAACGAUCUGUAGCAAUACAGGGAGUGGCGGACGGGUGAGGAACACGUAGGAAUCUACCUUGAAGAGCGGGACAACUUUGGGAAACCGGGGCUAAUACCGCAUAGUACAGAGAUGUUAAAGGGCUAGCAAUAGUCGCUUCGAGAUGAGCCUGCGGUCUAUCAGCUUGUUGGUGAGGUAAUGGCUCACCAAGGCUACGACGGAUAGCCGGUCUGAGAGGAUGAUCGGCCACACUGGCACUGAGACACGGGCCAGACUCCUACGGGAGGCAGCAGUUAAGAAUCUUGCGCAAUGGGGGAAACCCUGACGCAGCGACGCCGCGUGAAGGAUGAAGGCUUUCGGGUUGUAAACUUCGGUAGACUGGGAAGAGAAUACGGUUCGUUGAGGGCGUAUAAUGACGGUACCAGUCUGAAGCCCCGGCUAAUUACGUGCCAGCAGCCGCGGUAAU